RNAcentral lists this ribosomal RNA (301 nucleotides) under uncultured bacterium. RNAcentral describes it as "bacterial SSU rRNA". It matches the Rfam family "Bacterial small subunit ribosomal RNA", at positions 333 to 651 of the family's 1533-position model. The record is from RNAcentral.
CGUUCCCUACGGGAGGCAGCAGUGGGGGAUAUUGCACAACGGGGGAAACCCUGAUGCAGCGACGCCGCGUGUGGGAAGACGGUCCUCUGGAUUGUAAUCCACUGUCCCCAGGGACGAAGAUGACGGUACCUGGGGAGGAAGCCCCGGCUAACUACGUGCCAGCAGCCGCGGUAAUACGUAGGGGGCAAGCGUUAUCCGGAAUUAUUGGGCGUAAAGAGUGCGUAGGUGGUUACUUAAGCGCGGGGUUUAAGGCAAUGGCUCAACCAUUGUUCGCCCUGCGAACUGGGUUACUUGAGUGCAG